Molecule: non-coding RNA, 1669 nt
Organism: Macaca mulatta (Rhesus monkey)
Lineage: Eukaryota; Metazoa; Chordata; Mammalia; Primates; Cercopithecidae
Source: RefSeq, a predicted model, not a curated record
GUAAAAGAAAAAAAGGUGGGAGAUAUUUCUCAAAUCCACUUCUCUGAGAACUCAGAGGGAACUUUCCAUCUUACCUACUUUGGGUAUCUAUUUCCCAUCAUUGGACUUUAAGAUCAUAAAGGACUUCCUCUGCUGAGGACCCAAACUGAACCCCAAGACCAGGCAGUAUUCUUGAUAUACUACUGUAUGCUGCACAGUAAAAUAUUCAAUAAAUCACCUGAGAUAUUCAACACUUUAUUACAAAACAGGCUUUGUGUUCGACGAUUUUCCCCAACUGCAGGCUAAUGGAAGUGUUCUGAGCACAUUCAAGUAUAUUUAUUGACUACAGAUGGAAGCACAUUGCUAAGGAAUGGAAAGCUGCAAGAUAGAACAUGCCCUUCACCUGCGUGGUUGCAUAGAAACCGGUCGUUUGUCUAAAUCUUGAAGAACUCAAGUGGAAAGCGUACUUAAAAAUGUAAAGGUUAGAAUCACAAACUCCAGUUUGAAUUGAAAUGACUGAAAGAUUGUUUCAAGAGUAUAAGAAUUCUAUCUAAAAGAAGCGAAUGAAAGGUAUGUUCUGGCUCCACUACUCUGGUGUGCAACUGCAAGAAUUACAGAGAGUGCCUCAGAGAAACUGACUGGCCUUGAAAACCUAAAACUAUUCAUUGAUAAAAAGAGUGAGUGAUGAUAUGGAGCACCUGGAAGGAAUAGUUUGGUGUUACAGCUCUAAAAAUCUCCAGCAAACUCCAUUAGGUGAGCUUCUAAAUUAUUUCAAAUAUAUGAUUUUCAUCAAAAAUGCCCCUCGUGCUGUGAUAAAACUUAAAUGUGCAUCUGGCUGUUUACCUAUGCAAAGGGAGGGCAAGAGUUGAGGGGAAUCAGGCAGAGCAAUGUGUGUUGAAAGGCUGCAACUGAAGAGAAGGAAGAACUCAGGCAUGGUUUUUAAUGAAUGAUCAAUCAACCUGUUUUACUCACAGGUGGCAUUUCUGAGCUUUAACCUAUGCUUCAUCCCUCCUGAGAAACCAGGAACUCAGCUUGAGGCAUAUUUCUUGAAUACUUACCCUGAUUUUUACUUAAAAGGAUAGCAUCAGGGACCCUGUUUUAGGAAUACUUGUGUCAGCUUAAAUAACAACCAGAGACAGACUCUCUAAAAGAAAGGAUAUUUAUUUAAAGAUAGAGCAUUGCAAUGGCAGUAUGCAUGCCAUAGUAAACUAUGUGAGUAUUCAGGGAGGAAAAGAAAGACAAAGGUUUUUAAAGGAAAAAAAUGAGGAGGAUUACAUCAUUGUUUUGAAAUAAUUAUCCUUGGCUAUAAAGAUCAACAACAAGGGUGAUGCCAGCCUGAGGUUGGACAGGCAGUUGUGGGACAGGUGUCUUUGCAGAGGUAUUUUUUUGUGUAAGGUGGCAAUGGCCUUUGUGCAAGGUUGUGGGUUUUGCAGUUUUUUGUGACAGUUUUUGUUACCAGACAUACACGGAUGCGAACCCUCUCUUUGUGGCCUUCCCGGCUCUAUUUGUCAGGGUUUUCUUAACUUUAGCAAUUCCAGUUUGAUUCUGACAACUAUCACACUUGCAUUUGUGCUUAGAUAUCACCAGGAGUACUAUCAGGAUACUCUGAUAUAUAUUUAUAUUUUAAGGCUAGCUGAGCUGAGGAUUCAGUAGAGGGCAAAGACCAAACUGAGGCCAAAGCGAUUCUCCU